AAUAAUAAAUUAAAGAUUUAACCCGUAUUGAAACGGUGGAUUAAUUAUAUUUAUUUUUUAUUAAUGUUGAUUCAAAAACCCGUCACUCCAAAUCCGUCUUGCCAAAAAGCUAUUUAU
RNAcentral lists this small RNA (117 nucleotides) under Arabidopsis thaliana (thale cress). RNAcentral's name for it is "ATSL302710". Lineage: Eukaryota; Viridiplantae; Streptophyta; Magnoliopsida; Brassicales; Brassicaceae. The record is from RNAcentral.